AUAACGGUAUCUGCUUGACUGAGGAAGGUCUCUUCAAGAGGUCUCCGAGUGUUCUGGAACACAUGAAAAGGCAAUGAAGCUCCUUGCCACCUGUCUGACUCUUCAUUGGCCACGGUGCGAUAAAGGUCCAGCAUGAAGACUGGAGCAGAUGAUGAGCGUUUGACAGAAAGCAAAGGUUUGGGACGCCGAGGAUAUUUUUCCGUACAAGUGCAUUGCUGCCGUUCUUGAUGGUUAACAGUGUACAAAUGUUUGGGAAAUGCAAAGUAUUAAAAGGGUGUGCAACUAGAGAAAGAUGACUGAAGCAACAUAUUGGCCAGGAAAACAAUCUUAAGGAUCAUCUCAACAACAGGACCUGAGAACAAAGACUACUCAACUCUCUUUCCAAAUAUUUCCCUUCUAUCCAUAACCUAUUUAAUCUGAUUGCUUGUCU
This is a long non-coding RNA of Stegostoma tigrinum, 430 nucleotides long. RefSeq lists it as uncharacterized. The record is from RefSeq and is a predicted model, not a curated record. The transcript has 3 exons. Lineage: Eukaryota; Metazoa; Chordata; Chondrichthyes; Orectolobiformes; Stegostomatidae.